Molecule: long non-coding RNA, 1124 nt
Filed under: Mytilus galloprovincialis (Mediterranean mussel)
Lineage: Eukaryota; Metazoa; Mollusca; Bivalvia; Mytilida; Mytilidae
Source: RNAcentral
UUCGUUUUGAAAGAAUACAUUUUCCUUCAAAUUGUGUACAUGUUGACCAUUCCUGAUUUUUUAUUGGUAAGGGAACAUGAUGGUCAAGUUUAUAGUUUGUUUCGAAUAUUUGAUGUAUCUCUUGAGAUUAAGUUAUGUAUAUACUUCAACCAUGCAGUCCAAGAAAAUAGUUUCCCUUAUGUUUUAAAAAACAUAUACAGAACUUCAAAAACCCGUUAAUCUAUAAAGAAUAAAAAUAAUAAAUAAAAAAGAGCUCCAACUUCGUACUUUAUUUUGGCUUUUUAAUUUUUUGGAUUCGAGCGUCACUGAGGGGUCUUUUGUAGACGAAACGCGCGUCUGGCGAAAAAAAAACAAAUUUUAUCCUGGUAUCUAUGAUGAGUUUUGUUUUAUAUAUAUAUAUCAAUUUGAAUUAUAGACUCUCACUGGAUACUUUUUUGUAAGCCUAUCACGUACACCGUCAUUUUAAAUCAAAUGAUUUCAAUUAUUGUUUGGCUGUUAUCCAUUAGAAUGUUUUACACACAGCAGCACAGUACGGUAUAAAAUUUGCUCCUAAGCUCAGCCGAAAACAUUUUCUGUAUAUACAUAUACCAUCACGUAAUCAAUUUUGACUUGCUUUGUAUUUCAAUAGCUGUUAGUUCUUAUGCGAAUUGAAAUCAAUUUGAAUUAGAUUCUUGUCAGCGGGCGUCUGGCGUAUACUAAAUGUAUUCCUGGUAUCUAUGAUGAGUUUAUUUGUUUAUUAAAAUUUAAUGUUUUUGUUUCUUUUUUUAUUGCAACCGGCCGAAUAUUGAUAUUUGUUCACACUUACUAAUUUUUCAAUAUCAAGAUGAAAACGACAAAAAAAUUUAAAUUGAGUGGUAAUGAAAAGAUUUUAAGAACCUAAAGCAAGGUGGUAGAUUCACUUACAAAAGUAGGCUCUUUAAUAUGAAGCAGUCAGAAUUAUAGAGUAGGCUUAUCUCAAAUUUAACCAUUUCAUUAAUCAUGGAAGACAUCAUUACAAUCGAAAAAGACAACUGACGAAUAUGGUACAAAAAAGUCUCUUAAUUCAGUUUCCAUCCUGCAAACGUUGUUUUUGUGCCAUACCUAUCGUUACUUUGGAUACUUGUACUUGCUUGUUGAGAAGAACG